This 205-nucleotide long non-coding RNA is filed under the name Mytilus galloprovincialis (Mediterranean mussel). The record is from RNAcentral. Lineage: Eukaryota; Metazoa; Mollusca; Bivalvia; Mytilida; Mytilidae.
GUUGUUAUUAUAUCUGGUGAAGUGUAAUGAAAAUAUUUGUACCAUCCCAAUGAUACAGAUACCCUAGUAUAAAAAGUUUUACCCUAAUUCUUAAACUUCUGACAUAGCGACAGAAUUGUUUUUUUUGUUUUUUUUUCAAUCUAAGUCAAUCAUGACCUAAAAAGUAGGCUUUAUUUAACCAGAUGCUCCACAGGGUGCAGCUUUA